This 2919-nucleotide unclassified non-coding RNA is filed under the name Hevea brasiliensis (rubber tree). Lineage: Eukaryota; Viridiplantae; Streptophyta; Magnoliopsida; Malpighiales; Euphorbiaceae. The record is from RNAcentral.
GGCUUGUGAGCUGGGCCAAGAACAGAACCCUAACUCCACACUCGAAAGAAGUGGCUCACAUGUAUCGACACGAGUCUGGAAACUGGCUCAACGUUCCAUUUGAAAUUGAUUCUGAACUCAACAAUCUGUGACGGUGGCAUGGCGACGGUGGUUGAUAUGGACGCCAAAGGAGAGUUAGGGUUUCCGUACUGGACUCCAGUUCGUCGACGUUUGAGCCCCGAUUCUCCAUUCUUUGCUUAUGGUAACAUUCAGAGGGAGCUCUUCGCCAAACAGGUGAUUUUCUCGUUGAUCUUCAGCAUUCUUCUUCAAUGAUAAAGGAUUGAUUCGAAAUUUUAACAUCUGUUUGAUUGAGUUCAGAAUGCAUGUUAGAUGCUGAAGUGAAAUUUAGUUGCUCUUUCAUUUCUUUUUCUUUGGUUUUGGUUAUUAAUUUUUGGAAUUAUAGAUGAUCAAUGAAACCCCAUGCAUUAAAGCUGGAGAAUUUUCCGUUCUUAAUAUUCUGUGGAGAAUUUACCUUAGGUGAACACUGAACAGGCUUACGCAGGCCAUAAUAGAGGAAAAGAUGCUAUGUAACUAGUUUAAGAAAAGCUGAAGAAGGCUUAAAUGAGUUGAGGUGAGUUCUAUUCUUAAGCACUUAUUUAGCAUUUUAAUUCCAGGUUGCAUUGGAUUUAACAGAAGAUGAAAAGAAUCAGUUACAGAAUUUGGUGGAUGAGGAUGGCAGGUAUCAAUAUUCGAAUUAAUUUUCUCAUCUUCAUUUUAGCCUGCAAUGAUGGUAUCUAUUUAGUUUUCUUUUCCGUAAAUCAGAAAUUUUAUCUAUUUAGAUAUUAUUUGCUUGUUGUUUGUGUAUUUGUCGACUCAUCAGAGCUGUUAUAUGCUUAGUCCAAAUGAUUUGAAGAGGAAUUGAUAUAAACAUUGGGGAGAUAGAAAAUUUGGCUAUUUAUUUAGCUGAUUUUGAUCCUUAUUUUUAUGAUGAGACGAUCAAAGGUUAUUGUUUUAGGUACCAUGUACAGUCGAUUUCCAUUCAUAUGCUGUUUAUGAUCAAUUCUUAUAGUUUUACUUUUACAUGUUAGUGGAAAAAGUGUUCUGUCAUUCUUAAUUGUUUAGCUGAAGAUAAAUGUUUUUGAAAACUUUUAGAGUACUUGAUUGUUUGUGAUAAAGGGAUUUUUAGAUUUCUAGGAAAUGAAGAGAGCAAUUUCAGGGUUUUACCUUUCUGCUUCAUGCAUGGAAUAAAUAGUUUUAUUUCUAAGUUUCUACUAAUUGUGCCUAACUAUCAAUGUUUGAGCAGGGAUAUUUUUUGUCCCAUUGUUGGAUGUGGUGCACGCUUGACAUUUUUGGAAGACUUUGAAGACCAUUACAAUGCACGGCACGCUGCAUCCUGUUCGGUGUGCUCUAGAGUUUAUCCAACUUCUGGCCUGCUCAGCAUACAUGUAUCAGAAGCACAUGAUUCAUUUUUUCAAGCAAAAGUUGCACGUGGCUAUGCCAUGGUAUUCUUUGUUAGUUAAAUUUUUUUAUAAUUUAUGUCAUGAUUCUAAUCUAUAUGACUUUUAUUUUUCAAUUGAUUUUUGGCAAGCAUCAAUGCAGUUUAACAGUUUUAUUAUCAAAUGUUUUGAUAAUUGAUAUGUGAUUUGCAUAAUUUGUAAUUGUGAUAUGGCUUGUGAGACACCCGCAUGAUGGUACAAUUUGUCUAUGCUUUUGAUUUGUUUUUUUCCUUCUUCAUGCUUAACUGUUAUUGGAUUUGCAACUCACUUGUAAUGACUUGAUAAGCAAUCCAACUUAUCCCACUCCCUCAGGAGCUACAAGAAUCACUUAAAAGAGAGAAAAUGGACAAUAAAGUAGGAAAUAAAAGCAGAGUAGGAUUAUGCCCUGGAGAUGGAUAGACCAAUUAUGUAUGAAUGCACAUGGUUUUUUCCUUAAUGGUGGUAACUUGUUCAUCUAUUUGGUGGUUCUUAAAAUCCAAGCUUCUGUUUGGAAUUGCCAUAAUCGCAAGAAGUUCUUCAGUUUGUUGAAUGUGCUGGUUUUUUAUGCUUCUUCUCACAACUUUUUUGUUCAAUGCUAAUGUGCAUUCUCAAGUGACAGUAUGAAUGCCUGGUGGAAGGUUGUGCUUUGAAAUUCAAGAACUACAAAAGUAGGCAACAGCAUUUGGUGGACAAGCAUAAAUUUCCCAGCGCAUUUGAAUUCUUCAAGAAGGCCCAUCCAUCAAAGAAGGCAAGACAGAAGCACCAGCGUAGACUAGCUAUUCGAAAGAGGGAGGAAACUUCAACCAAAAUGGAAGUAGAAGGUGAAACCAUUGAUGGCCUCAUAUCAGCAGUCUCUAGAUUAAGCACUUCAGAUUCACCUCCUUCUGUCAGCUUUGGUCGCCGCCACACUCGUGGUCUUAUGUUUGUACCUCGUACUGUUCAGCGAGAAAAUAGCUCACACAGUGGAACAAAGAGGUAGCCACCUAACUAGUAAAUAACAUGCCUUCUUCCACCAAUACUGCCAAUGGCUUCGGCAUGUAACAAUGAAAAAGGCAAUAUGAGAGCUGUAGGAGACUUAUAAAAUGCUGUAGAUGAUCUGCAUAUUGCACAGAAUCAUCUAAAAUGCUGUAGGAGACAUGUUGUGCAUAUAAUUUGCACCCAAGGCGUCACCAUUCUGCUUACAGACAAAUUUUAUUAUUAUUUUGAGGCUAUUUAUUUAUUUUUGUAAAUAUAUUUUUUUAUAUGUUUAUUUAAUAGAAUAAGAAAGAGAGAGAAUGGAGUGGGAAUGAUAAGUUACAUAAAUUAAUCGUAAAAGAUGGGAGUUUGGCAGAGAUGGGACUCCCAAAAUAGAAAUUAAAGCCUGUUCAUCAUGUACUAUUACUUCAAGUUUGAUGGAUCGCGAUAUGGUAUAAUUAUCUGUGUUGUCCUUUUAGUAAUAAGACAUAUAGUGAAAUUCAAAUCAUAC